RNAcentral lists this ribosomal RNA (253 nucleotides) under uncultured bacterium. RNAcentral's name for it is "partial 16S ribosomal RNA". It matches the Rfam family "Bacterial small subunit ribosomal RNA", at positions 524 to 776 of the family's 1533-position model. The record is from RNAcentral.
UACGUAGGGUGCAAGCGUUAAUCGGAAUUACUGGGCGUAAAGCGUGCGCAGGCGGUUGGGCAAGACAGAUGUGAAAUCCCCGGGCUUAACCUGGGAACUGCAUUUGUGACUGCGCGGCUAGAGUGUGUCAGAGGGGGGUAGAAUUCCACGUGUAGCAGUGAAAUGCGUAGAUAUGUGGAGGAAUACCGAUGGCGAAGGCAGCCCCCUGGGAUAACACUGACGCUCAUGCACGAAAGCGUGGGGAGCAAACAGG